Molecule: ribosomal RNA, 253 nt
Filed under: uncultured bacterium
Lineage: Bacteria
Description: partial 16S ribosomal RNA
Rfam family: Bacterial small subunit ribosomal RNA
Source: RNAcentral
UACGUAGGGGGCAAGCGUUGUCCGGAUUGACUGGGCGUAAAGCGCACGCAGGCGGACGCGCGCGUGGGGUGUGAAAUCUGGCCGCUUAACGGCCAGGCGCCAUCCCAUACGGCGGGUCUGGAGUGAUGCAGAGGGCGGUGGAAUUGCCGGUGUAGUGGUGAAAUGCGUAGAGAUCGGCAGGAACACCCAGGGGGAAACCAGCCGCCUGGGCAUCGACUGACGCUGAGGUGCGAGAGCGUGGGGAGCGAACCGG